GACAAUUAGGGUUGAUCGUGCGCAACGGGCAUAGAGUCCCACUUACAUAUCUCAGUUGGAAUGUGAUGCAUGUUGAUAUAAAGGAGAAUAUUUGGCAAGAGGUGAAGGACAUCGUGGAAAGAUCAUAAAAGCAAGACAAAGUCCAAGUAUUGGGUUCCAUUCAAGAAUGAUC
Molecule: non-coding RNA, 172 nt
Organism: Camellia sinensis
Lineage: Eukaryota; Viridiplantae; Streptophyta; Magnoliopsida; Ericales; Theaceae
Source: RefSeq, a predicted model, not a curated record